CUCUUUGGUUAUCUGGCUGUAUGAGUGAUCUGUGACAUCAUAAAGCUAGGUUACCAAAGCU
Toxocara canis (dog roundworm) is the source of this 61-nucleotide non-coding RNA. NCBI's taxonomy places the organism in Eukaryota, Metazoa, Nematoda, Chromadorea, Rhabditida, Toxocaridae. The record is from Rfam.